RNAcentral lists this microRNA (20 nucleotides) under Bos taurus (domestic cattle). RNAcentral's name for it is "bta-miR-6121-5p". The record is from miRBase by way of RNAcentral. Lineage: Eukaryota; Metazoa; Chordata; Mammalia; Artiodactyla; Bovidae.
UCGGAGCGCCCUCGCCAGAC